GCUUACUCCAACACACUCCGGUAAUCCACACUUAACCUUCGUAAGGACUAAAGAAGCUUUUCUUCUUCAUAAUUGUUUCCAGAAUUACAGAGUAUACAUGAACAUGAUCAGGUCUAUAUCUGUUAAUGUUGGAGAAGCUUUUCUUCGUCCUUGUUUUCAUGGCGCCACUUUAAUCAAGCUUUGUCCUCUUCAUUUUCAUGGCAGAUCCUCAAGUAAGCUUCUCCAUUUCUCUACUACUUUUCCCUUUUUCGAUUUCACUCUUCCCCUUUUGCCCUCUUUUCACCUUUCUUUACUGUUUCCUUCCCGAAAUUACACCAAUUACGCUACUCAAGAUUUUGAUUCUGAUUUUGAUGACCCCAAAUUAUUUCUGAAAUUUGUUAGACAACAAUCCAAAUUAGGGUUUACUAAUGUUGAAAUCCCCCUUUCCCUCUUUCACCGUAUGAAAUCGAUGCGCCCAAUUCCUGGUAUGAUUGAUUUCAAUAUGCUUUUUUCAGCCAUGUGUAAGAUUAAACCCCACCCCCCAUUCUCCACUGUCAUUUCUCUCUACAGGCACCUCCUUGGAUUUCGUUCUCUCACUAUCAGUUGAAAAAGUAGAAGCUAUUUUAUCCAAUUAUUUUUAUAGAUAGAUUUCCUUUCAUUUAAUGAAAUGAAAAAAGCAGUCUUCUUUACAUAAGACGAAGGAAGACAAAAUUGGAAUUCUAAUCAGUCAUUUUUGAUGUUUGUGAGAACCAUUUAAAUCAUGAUUUAAAUGGUUCUCACCUGUUUCUAAGAAACUUGCUUAUGACUUGUACUAUAAUCUGUAUUCAUAAGGCCCUUUCUUCCAUUUAAUUAAGCGUUAAUGUAAAUGAGCCAUAACUAUGUAGCCCUAUUCCUAAUAGAUUAACCCCAAAAUAGCAUAUCCAAAUUAUAAGAAAGCCUAUAAAAGCCACAAUUGCAGAAUUUGCACCUCGAAAAUUUUUAUUUGUUCGAAUAUGUAAAUAAAUUGCAAAUAUGGUCCAAGUAAUAAAUGCCCAAGUUUCCUUUGGGUCCCAAUUCCAAUAUGAUCCCCAUGCCUCAUUGGCCCAUACUGCUCCUGAAAGAAUACCUAUGGUUAAAAAGAUAAAUCCUAGACUAAUAACACGAUAACUCCAAUGAUCCUUUUGUCUGCUCUCCGUCCUGAUAUUUAUUCUCUUAACAUUCUCGCUAAUUGCUACUGUCUUUUGGACUUUGUUGAUUUGGGGUUUUCUGUUCUCGCCAACAUUAUUAAGCUUGGUUUUCAGCCUGAUAUUGUCACCUUUACUACUCUCAUCAAUGGCUUCAUUCACUCUAAUCAAUUUCAGAAAGCCGUUCCAUUGUUGGAUAAAAUUGUCAAGCUUGGCUUCCAACCUGAUAUGGUCACCUAUGGUUCUAUGUUCAAAGGUCUCUGUAGGUCUGGUGAUAAUGCCGGUGCUCUCAAACUCCUCAGACAUAUGGAGUCUUAUGGCCAUUGUAUGCCUAAUGUUGUCAUUUAUAACACCAUCAUUGAUAGUCUCUGUAAAGACCAAUUAUUACCUCAGUCUCUCCUCCUUUUCAAGGAGAUGAAAGUCAAGGGAAUAUCCCCUAAUGUUGUCACCUAUAAUACCUUAAUUCGAGGUAUGUUAACUUUGGGACAACAGAAAGAGGCUCAAGGAAUGGUGACUGAGAUGUUGAGGAACAACAUAACUCCUGAUGUUGACACCUACAACACAUUGAUUGACAUGUAUUGUAAAGAAGGCAAGGUUGGUGAAGCACGGGACAUUUUUGUUCACAUGACUGAGAGAGGAUUUGUUCCCGAUAUCAUCACUUACAAUACUUUGUUAGACGGAUAUUGUUUACAUGGUGAGAUGAAUGAGGCAGAAAAGCUCAUGGAUUUGAUGGUAGAAGAUGGUUGCAAACAUGAUGUUUUUACUUUCAGCAUCUUAAUCAAUGGCUAUUGUAAGGGAGGAAUGGUUAUUGAAGCACGGGCCAUAUUUGAAUCCAUGAUAAGUCAAGGUCAGAUUCCCAAUAUCAUCACUUACAAUGCUCUGUUAGAUGGAUAUUGUUUACGUGGUGAGAUGGAUGAGGCAGAAAAGCUUAUAAAUUUGAUGGUUGAAAAUGGUUGCAAACCUGAUGUAGUUACUUACAACAGCUUAAUCAAUGGCUAUUGCAAGGCUAAAAAGAUUGACAAAGCUCUUGGUUUGGUCCAAGAGAUGCAUUUUAACGGAUUAAGCCCUGAUGUUAUCAUGUACAGCACUCUUAUAGAUGCCUUGUGCAAAGACAAUCAACUCAAGCUUGCACACCAGUUUUUCGAGGAUAUGGAAGCUCAUGGACUGAAACCAGAUAUAAUAACUUGGAAUUCAUUCCUUGACGGCAUGUGUAGGAAUGCACAAAUAGAUAAGGCAGUUGCAACAGUGAAGGAAAUGGAGACUACUGGAAUGGUCCAUGAUAUUUUUACAUACAAUAUCCUAAUGGAUGGUUUUUGUGAAGCUAAUCGCCUUAGAGAAGCGGUGGAUAUUUUCUCCUUUCUCACAACUAAAGGGCUGCAUGAUGUGUGUGCUUACAACAUAAUGAUAAAAGGGUAUUGUAAAGAAGGGUUGCUAGCAAAAGCCGAUGAAUUAUUGAAGAAUAUGGAGGACAAUGGAUGCCUUCCAAAUGAAGGCACCUUCAAUACAAUUAUUAGAGGGUUUCUUGAUGGCAAGGAUGUUAGGAGAGCUUUAGAACUUGUCAGCUUAAUGAGAAUCAAACGGGAUGAGAAGGGGAAAACUGUGAAGUGAGGGCGCUGGAGCCUAUUACAUGGUGUUGUUUCAAGCUGGUUAGAAGGAGGCUUGGAUGAAACAAAAACUGUUGGGUUUCUCAGCAGGCAAAAGCAAAAUCAAAAUCAAAACCUAAGGGGUUAAAGAACGCGAGGAGAGAUCCCCUUAAUUAUGAUUUUUUUUUUUUUGGAUUCCUCUCAUCCACAAAAACAGGGAUUCGAAGCUGGUCUGGUAUCUUUCACCUUUGCGUUUGGAGGUGGAGAGUUUCGGUGGAAGCAACAUGAUUGAGUGGUUCAACAAUUUGCGAGGGAAGUAUAAGGAUCCGCUUUGGUGGGACAUUUUCUGGAGUAUCUUAUGGGGUAUGUGGCUGCGUAGAAAUUGGUGGGUGUUUGAUGGCAAACGGAAGGAAAUUGAUGAUCUUAUUCAUAAAGCCAUUAGCAUCGUGGGGGAUUACGAUCCAGGGAAAUUAUUUGCAGCAGUACAAAGGAACUGAGGCUACCUACGCCUUGAAUUGCUCCUUGUUAAGGAGUGUACAAAGUAAACUCUGAUGCGGCCAUAUUCAAGAGACAAUCAGGUGGGAUUAGGAGGUGUUACAAGGGACCUCCAGGUGGGAUAAUCUUGAUUUUGAAAUUGUGGAAGGCAUGGCAAUGAGGCAUGCUUUGAAGAUCACUAUGGAAGCUGGUUUUGCGAGAAUUUGCUUGGAGAUUAGUAACAGCAAAGUGCAUCAGUAUUUGGCUGAGAAAAACGCUACUUCCAACGGUUUUUGGGAGCAUUAUUCAAGACAUUUUGCAGCUUGCUAACGAGUGCCUUUUUUGUUCUUUUUCUUUUGUAAAGAGGGAAGGAGGUAAACCUGGGCAUCGUGCCGGGCCGUGCCUGGCGGGCCACGGGCUCCGGCGUGCCGUGCCGGUCGUGCCGCCGUGCCCGGGAAGUCGUGCCGUGCUGUGCCGGCCAUUCUCACAGGCCAGCCCAUGGCCUGGCACGGCCCUUGUGCCUGGCGGGCUCGCGCCGUGCCGG
Molecule: RNA transcript, 3743 nt
Organism: Chenopodium quinoa (quinoa)
Lineage: Eukaryota; Viridiplantae; Streptophyta; Magnoliopsida; Caryophyllales; Amaranthaceae
Gene name: pentatricopeptide repeat-containing protein At1g63130, mitochondrial-like
Exons: 4
Source: RefSeq, a predicted model, not a curated record